Drosophila navojoa is the source of this 222-nucleotide long non-coding RNA. The record is from RefSeq and is a predicted model, not a curated record. Lineage: Eukaryota; Metazoa; Arthropoda; Insecta; Diptera; Drosophilidae.
GUUUUAUACACAGUCGAUCGCUCAACCACCACAAUCUAUCGCCCAUCUAUUAUUAUUAAUUAAAACAACGCAGCGCGUGGAGGUGGAGAAAAAUUUGUGAAAAGUGCAAAAACGCAGCGCGUGAAGCAAGUUGGCGACAUCGAUCGUGUAUAUUAUUAAUUAAAAUUCCGUCAAGCCGUGUGUUGUGCUCUGCCUCGGCUAAAUCAAAUCAGAAUCUACAUC